RNAcentral lists this long non-coding RNA (468 nucleotides) under Equus caballus (horse). RNAcentral describes it as "lncRNA (ENSECAG00000050311.1)". The record is from RNAcentral. Lineage: Eukaryota; Metazoa; Chordata; Mammalia; Perissodactyla; Equidae.
GCUGGCGGCAGCAACUGUGGAAGGGAAGAACAUAGUCACGUACCUACACGCUGCUUUUCAUUCUCUCCCACUCAGUCCUUCCUUCCGCUGCCUUCUCUGGGGGCCUUCAUUGGAUGUAUCUGUGUUCUCACCUUCCAUUUCCCUCUUUCUCUGGCUCCCAUUCCUCUCCCUUCAUUUCACCUUUUCAUCUGCCUGCCUCUUUCAUCAUCUCGUAUUUAUACAGCACCUAACAUCUGUUGGACGCUGGGAUUGGCACUGUGACUAUAACAAAGAUGACCGGGACAUGCUUCCUGUCCUCACGGAGCUUACAAGCAGUUGCUGAGUGUGUGUCUUCCAGGGAAAAGAAGAGGAAGCAGGAGAGGCCUUCAGACUUGGACUGGAAUGUACAUCGCUGGCUCCCCAUCUCUCGGACCUUGGAAAUACACUCUGGCUUUCUUGGGUCUCCAGCUUACAGAUGGCAGAUCGGAG